AAGAAACAGAUAUGAAAACAUCCCUGGGAUUAGUUUAUAAAAUGGAUGAGAAAUUUAUAACCGCUUCCAAAAUGCUGACAGGGUAAUGAAUAAUAUAACAGGAGGAAUUAUUCAGUGGCGUUUACCCACGGCCACGAUGAAGCUAGGUACAGCUCCCAGGGUGAGGUACACAUUUGCUUGUAAAUAAAACUCUUGUGAUUACGAUGUUAAAUAAGUUCUCUCCUUUGAGCUCUUGUCGGCCAACGUCCGGCGGCGGAUAAGUAACAAGCUCACAGCGGCCCGGCGGUGCUGACAGCCUGCUGCUGCCAAUGUCAUCUACUCGCCCUGUCAUCCCCCGUCCGGUCAAUUUUCUUGUUCUCAUCUGGGCGCUCGAAGCGACCGCCGUCACGGCCACACGCGACACUACGGACAGCAAGGAGCGGCCACACAGGACCCCUUGGGCGGGGUUGACCUUCUACCAGGACGUAGCGCCGGCCGCGUGGCUAACAGUCACACUGACCAGUGGGGAUUUACGCUUAGGUUUUAUUUUUAGUGAACUCGCCCAGACCGAGACAAAUUGACCGCGGCGUUGAAACGCUGGCAGGGAAAGGUCGAUGGCUCUGCCGCCCGUAUAUCACAGCCACGCGCUGUGCUGUGAUUUGAUGGGGGGCCGAUUCAUCCCAGACACUGUGGUGGUGCCAACGCUGAUUACAAAUGCUGUUUAAGUGUAGGUGGAAGGAGGAUCAUUACAACAGUCUGAGAGGAGGAGUUGCUGUCACCGCUUAAGAAAAAUGCAAAUGGCCUCUUGCUGAGUUAGGCUGUGGCCACUGCCAGCUGUGCUGCUGCUACAUCGUCAAACAAAUGAAGGAGAAGGCAAGCAGGGGGGUGUACGGGAAGAUAUCAGACCGAGUAGACAGGAUCAACUCCAAGAGAACUGGACCACAGAAGGUUUCAAUCUGUACCAGGAGCCAGAUGUGGGCAUCAGGACACUGGCCAAAGAGGAGGAGAGAGUGGAGGAGGAGGCGGAGGAUUGGACAGUGGUAAGACACGCCAGGAACGCCAAAACCAAGACGAGUUAGAACGAAGGACCUGCCCGCGGGGCUGCAGGACGCAAAAAAGCCUCGGUCAACCUGCCCAGAGACUGGAACGGAUCUGUAGGACACCAUGAAGUUAAAAUUGGUUAUUUUCACAGUUGUAUUCUUCUCCCAUUUAACUAAAUGUCAUGUAGUCUAAACAGUUACGUUUUUUUAUGAGUUAUUUUACAUCCAAAUCGAAUCAAGGCAACUUCGCUCUC
This is a long non-coding RNA of Gadus macrocephalus (Pacific cod), 1273 nucleotides long. RefSeq lists it as uncharacterized. The record is from RefSeq and is a predicted model, not a curated record. NCBI's taxonomy places the organism in Eukaryota, Metazoa, Chordata, Actinopteri, Gadiformes, Gadidae. The transcript has 4 exons.